UUUCGAAUCAUUCACAAUGGGCGAAAGCCUGAUGGUGCGACGCCGCGUGGGGGAUGAAGGUCCUCGGAUUGUAAACCCCUGUCACCGGGGAAGAAACGCUUUGAGCUAAUAGUUCAAAGCCUGACUUAACCCGGAGAGGAAGCAGUGGCUAACUCUGUGCCAGCAGCCGCGGUAAUACAGAGACUGCAAGCGUUAUUCGGAUUCACUGGGCGUAAAGGGUGCGCAGGCGGCUAAGUGUGUCAGAUGUGAAAUCCCGAGGCUUAACCUCGGAACUGCGUCUGAAACUACUUGGCUAGAGUACUGGAGAGGGUAACGGAAUUCACGGUGUAGCAGUGAAAUGCGUAGAUAUCGUGAGGAACACCAGAGGCGAAGGCGGUUACCUGGACAGUUACUGACGCUCAGGCACGAAAGCGUGGGGAGCAAAAGGGAUUAGAUACCCCCGUAGUCC
RNAcentral lists this ribosomal RNA (448 nucleotides) under uncultured bacterium. Its description in RNAcentral is "bacterial SSU rRNA". It matches the Rfam family "Bacterial small subunit ribosomal RNA", at positions 355 to 796 of the family's 1533-position model. The record is from RNAcentral.